AGGAUAAACGCUGGCGGCGUGCCUAACACAUGCAAGUCGAACGUCUCUUCUUUCGGGAAGAGGAGUGGCGGACGGGUGAGGAACACGUGGGAACCUGCCCUUUAGUGAGGAAUACCGGCGAGAAAUCGCCGACAAGACCGCAUAGCCCUCGAUGGUGAGAGCCAUCGAAGGAAAGCUUCGCAAGAGGCGCUAGAGGAGGGGCCUGCGUCCGAUUAGCUAGUUGGUGGGGUAGGAGCCUACCAAGGCGUCGAUCGGUAGCUGGUCUGAGAGGACGAUCAGCCACACUGGGAUUGAGAACGGCCCAGACUCCUACGGGGGGCAGCAGUGAGGAAUUUUCGUCAAUGGGGGCAACCCUGAACGAGCAACGCCGCGUGCAGGAAGAAGGUUUUCGGAUCGUAAACUGCUUUUCUCGGGGAAGAGAAUGGACGGUACCCGAGGAAUCAGCCCCGGCUAACUACGUGCCAGCAGCCGC
RNAcentral lists this ribosomal RNA (472 nucleotides) under uncultured bacterium. RNAcentral's name for it is "SSU rRNA". It matches the Rfam family "Bacterial small subunit ribosomal RNA", at positions 26 to 518 of the family's 1533-position model. The record is from RNAcentral.